This 253-nucleotide ribosomal RNA is filed under the name uncultured bacterium. Its description in RNAcentral is "partial 16S ribosomal RNA". It matches the Rfam family "Bacterial small subunit ribosomal RNA", at positions 524 to 776 of the family's 1533-position model. The record is from RNAcentral.
UACGUAGGGGGCAAGCGUUGUCCGGAUUUACUGGGCGUAAAGAGCGUGUAGGCGGCCACGCAGGUCCGUUGUGAAAACUGGAGGCUCAACUUCCAGCCGUCGACGGAAACCGUGUGGCUAGAGUCCGGAAGAGGAGAGUGGAAUUCCUGGUGUAGCGGUGAAAUGCGCAGAUAUCAGGAAGAACACCCGUGGCUAAGGCGGCUCUCUAGUACGGUACUGACGCUGAGACGCGAAAGCGUGGGGAGCGAACAGG